AUUAAGGUCAAGACCAUUGCAGGUUUGGACGGCCAUGUUGUUUCUACAUUGUAUGUUUAAUAUGGUAAUAACUCGAUUGUUGUAUGUUGGCCUUUGCAAAACGAAACCUCAACAAAACAAAAUGUACCGUAGAUAAUGCAUGUCGAUGUCACAAUAUGGCAAAUGAGUUUAAAUCACUAAAUCUAAUCGUACUCGUUGUUUUGGUCUAUUCUUCUAUUUAAUUCCAAUAUACCAUAGAAAUUAUCAUUAGAAAGCUAAGCGUGUAUUUUCCACGGUUCUAUCACGUAUCAAAAGCGUGAUCUAAGGAGACUUUACUGUUUUCAAUGUAGCGGUUUCGAAAGAAGAUUCGAUACCUGCAAAUUAACAUUCGAAACCAGAUGGAAAUCUGGAAUUUUACUCUAUUUUGACCAAUCCAUGACAAGCGUACUUGUCUGUCUUAUGAUGUAGCUUAUACGAAGCGGAUCCUAACCAUUAUGUCGUGUACAACAGAUCAUGCCUCAACACAUUAAAUACUUUAUACUACCAGAUUGUACUGGUUUGAAAAGGUAUCAUGAAUAUUUCAGCUUCACCUAUGGAGAAGAUUAUUCAACAGUACGCUGUGCCUGUUGGUGUAUUCACCCUAUUGAUGGUUAUCACUUUACUUGUGGCUGUAAUCAGGAAAACAUGCUCAUGGAUUUCAAAGAAAAGGGAGAAGAAACCCCUACUAGUGAAGAUAGGACCAGUUUUAGAGAUGGCUAAAGCGUUUGACAGGGCAAGCAAGGACAAAUCACCAGUCAUCACAGGAAGACUACAGGGGAUGAAGCAGCGCAUACCGACAAGAACCUGAUGUAAAAUCUAGUGAAUCAUGAAAUAUUAUAUUCACUGGAAAUGUCCAUGUGUGUUGGAUACAGACAGGAAAUCAUUGGUAAAAAUGUGGCUCAAAUGUUAAAAA
Long non-coding RNA from Haliotis rubra (blacklip abalone), 931 nucleotides. RefSeq lists it as uncharacterized. Lineage: Eukaryota; Metazoa; Mollusca; Gastropoda; Lepetellida; Haliotidae. The transcript has 2 exons. The record is from RefSeq and is a predicted model, not a curated record.